UACGAAGGGGGCUAGCGUUGCUCGGAUUGACUGGGCGUAAAGGGCGCGUAGGCGGUUUGUACAGUCAGACGUGAAAUUCCUGGGCUCAACCUGGGGGCUGCGUUUGAUACGUGCAGACUUGAGUUCGGAAGAGGGUCGUGGAAUUCCCAGUGUAGAGGUGAAAUUCGUAGAUAUCGGGAGGAACACCAGUGGCGAAGGCGACUUCCUGGCCUGUUCUUGACGCUGAGGCGCGAAAGCUAGGGGAGCAAACGGG
RNAcentral lists this ribosomal RNA (253 nucleotides) under uncultured bacterium. Its description in RNAcentral is "partial 16S ribosomal RNA". It matches the Rfam family "Bacterial small subunit ribosomal RNA", at positions 524 to 776 of the family's 1533-position model. The record is from RNAcentral.